This 530-nucleotide ribosomal RNA is filed under the name uncultured bacterium. RNAcentral describes it as "bacterial SSU rRNA". It matches the Rfam family "Bacterial small subunit ribosomal RNA", at positions 18 to 518 of the family's 1533-position model. The record is from RNAcentral.
CUUGGUUCAGGACGAACGCUGGCGGCCGUGCCUAAUACAUGCAAGUCGAACGGUCUUUUCUAUGGAAGCUUGCUUCCACUGAGAAGAUAGUGGCGAACGGGUGAGUAACACGUGGGUAACCUGCCCAUAAGAGGGGGAUAACAUCCGGAAACGGGUGCUAAUACCGCAUAGUUUUCUUGAUCGCAUGAUCGGGAAAGGAAAGACGGCCUUUGUGCUGUCGCUUAGUGGAUGGACCCGCGGCGUAUUAGUUAGUUGGUGAGGUAACGGCUCACCAAGACGAUGAUACGUAGCCGACCUGAGAGGGUGAUCGGCCACAUUGGGACUGAGACACGGCCCAAACUCCUACAGGAGGCAGCAGUAGGGAAUCUUCCGCAAUGGACGAAAGUCUGACGGAGCAACGCCGCGUGAGUGAAGAAAGGUUUUCGGAUCGUAAAACUCUGUUGUCAGAGAAGAACAAGUUGGAGAGUAACUGCUCCAGCCUUGACGGUAUCUGACCAGAAAGCCACGGCUAACUACGUGCCAGCCGCAGC